AUGAUAUUUGGUGCAACCAAAUGCAACCUUUGGGAAAUUUUUGGCAGCAUUUCCUAUAAAGCAUUAAACAUAUCAGGCUCAAUUAUCUCACAUUCUUUCUUUUCUCAGUUUUAUGAUUUUGGAAUUUUUUAAAUUCUCAAGAGCAUGAAAUUUCUGAGAAUUUUCAAAAAUCCAAUCGAUCUUAAUUGAAUCCACUCUUUUGUUUUUUGGGUCUUUGUUUGUUUUCUAAAUUCAGUUCCCUACUAAUCAUUUUCAGAUAUUCUCUACACACUAACCAAGUGAAUUGAAUUCACUCCCCACUUCCAAGAAUCUAACCUGUUUUUAAUCAGGUUGGCACAAUCAAGGUGGAAAGAAAGUCUGCUCAUAGUGUAGAAAUCCUUCUCGAACUGAAUGAACGCCUGGGCCUCGCCAACAUGGUCACCGUCCUUUGCAAGGCUCGAGUCAUCAAAGGAAAGAUUCUAAGUGUUCAACCAAUCAUAUACCAGCAACCGCAGGUGUGUCACCAGCAUUGAUCCGAUAGGAUGAGUUUGUGUCAACAAUGGGCUGAUAAACUCUAAGAGAUGACUAAUGAUUUUCAGUCUUUUAGACAACAGAUGGUCACUGGCUUUGGUGCUAAUACAUAUAGUGGCAUUCUGCACUA
Magnolia sinica is the source of this 640-nucleotide long non-coding RNA. RefSeq lists it as uncharacterized. Lineage: Eukaryota; Viridiplantae; Streptophyta; Magnoliopsida; Magnoliales; Magnoliaceae. The record is from RefSeq and is a predicted model, not a curated record. The transcript has 2 exons.